Molecule: ribosomal RNA, 169 nt
Filed under: uncultured bacterium
Lineage: Bacteria
Description: partial 16S ribosomal RNA
Rfam family: Bacterial small subunit ribosomal RNA
Source: RNAcentral
CUCCUACGGGAGGCAGCAGUGAGGAAUAUUGCGCAAUGGGGGAAACCCUGACGCAGCCAUGCCGCGUGAGUGAAGAAGGCCUUAGGGUUGUAAAGCUCUUUCAGUCGUGAAGAUAAUGACGGUAGCGACAGAAGAAGCCCCGGCUAAAUUCGUGCCAGCGCCGCGGUAA